This is a long non-coding RNA of Panicum virgatum (switchgrass), 1653 nucleotides long. RefSeq lists it as uncharacterized. The transcript has 2 exons. NCBI's taxonomy places the organism in Eukaryota, Viridiplantae, Streptophyta, Magnoliopsida, Poales, Poaceae. The record is from RefSeq and is a predicted model, not a curated record.
CAUCGAUCCGACCUCGGCAUCCCCGGUGGCCGCCGGCCUCUCCUCCUUCUCCCUCUCCCUCUCCUUGCCGUCCACGAUGGACGGGCCGGGCGCCAUGGCGUCCCAGAUCGGGAGCACGGGCGGCGCGCCGGGGGGCACCGGCGGCGCAGGCUUCUUGAGGCGGUGCGUCCUUGGGUCGACAUCGGGCGCGCCCGUGGGCAGCACGGCCGAGAUCGCGGCGAGGCUGCGGUGGCGGUUGAAGUCCUCCUGCACGGAGCGCGGCACGAGGACGCGCUAGAUUCCGUGGAUGACCCCGUCGGGGCGGAGCACUGCGUCCGGGCGCGUGACGGCAGCGUGGCCGACGCGCAUGCCGGCUGCGCUGUCGGCCGCGGCGGCGAGCUCGACCUCCUUGCCGGAGAGCGUGGGGUGGGAGGCGGCAGGCCAGGAGUCAGAGGGGAGGCGUGCGGGGAGGAUGUGGUAGAGCAGCAGCGCCUAGAGUGACUUGAGGUUGCAGGGCUCGAGGAGGAAGCGCUUGAACUCCGGGUCGAGGUCGCGCUUGAACUCCGCCGCACCUCAAUGCUGCGUUGCGCCGCUCUCCACCUCUGGUCCGCCCCCGCCGGCGCGCCCUGCUGGUUCCUGACCGGGGCUGCGGCGGCGGCGACCCGUCCUCUGGCGCGCGCACGCGCGAGCCAACCGGGAGCGAGCUCGCCGGGACGACGCCGGGGCCGGCGUGCGGCAUGGGGCUGGGGCUCCCUGGCGGGAGGUUGGGGAAGGGGCGGGCCCCACCUGUCAGUGGGCGCCGAGAGCCCUGUGGUCGCGCUGGAAGGACAGCGUUGGUGUGCCGCUAACGGAGCAGUCACGGAGGUCACGGCGAGGCCAUACAAAGGAUGCAACAUCAAAACCGGGUCAAAGAAGAAAGUUUCAACUCUUCAGGGCCAUGGAAGGAAGCGUGAUUUGAUCCAAGGCCUUGCAGGGAAUUUUCUCUAGAUUUAUUGGUGUGUUGACAAGAUCGUGCCCGCAGCCGUGGACAUGCAUGCGGCCGCGGCCCGAAAGCCACCAUGGAGGCGGCAGGAGAUGGGUCCCCGCGGCAUCGGACUCCACGGCGGCGCAAGCGCUCCUUCCUGGCCCAGAUCCGGCUGGCGGCCGUCCUCCCCGACAUCGGCAGCGUGCUUGGCCGCAGCGAGUCACGGCGGCCUCCUACGACCGGCGGGGCGUGGACGCGGAAGCCUGCCGGACGCCAGCGCGACGACGCGACCACGCGCCGCGCUGCAUUUUUUUUUGUUUUCAAUCGGUUUCUAGGGGCGGUUGACCCCUCACCCGCCCCUACAAACUCAUUUAUAGGGACGGGUGAGGGCAUCACCCGCUCUUGAAAAUAGAUUUGUAGGGACGGGUGAGGGGUCACACGCCGACGGGUGAGGGCAUCACCCGCUUUUGAAAAUAGAUUUGUAGGGACGGGUGAGGGGUCACACGCCCUUGGAAAUAGAUUUUUAGCGGAGGGUGAGGGCGUCACCCGCCCCUGGAAAUAGAUUUUUAGGGGCGGGUUUGUUUUUCGCUCUUGAAAAAGAGGUAUUUUUAGCAGUGAAAACUAGCCACGGAUUUUCUAUCCGUCCCUAAAAAUAGUGUUUUAUCCGCCCUACAAAUCUUUAUUGUAGUAGUGUAAGCAACCUUGUCCUA